Molecule: non-coding RNA, 45 nt
Filed under: Schistosoma mansoni
Lineage: Eukaryota; Metazoa; Platyhelminthes; Trematoda; Strigeidida; Schistosomatidae
Source: RNAcentral
ACCCAUCUGAUGAGUCUCAAAUAGGACGAAAGGCGCGUCCUGGAU